UAGUGACAAGAAAUAACAAUACAGGGCCUAACGGUCUUGUAAUUGGAAUGAGUGAAGUAUAAACCCCUUUACGAGUAUCAAAUGGAGGGCAAGUCUGGUGCCAGCAGCCGCGGUAAUUCCAGCUCCAAUAGCGUAUAUUAAAGUUGUUGCAGUUAAAAAGCUCGUAGU
RNAcentral lists this ribosomal RNA (168 nucleotides) under Cryptosporidium parvum. Its description in RNAcentral is "partial small subunit ribosomal RNA". It matches the Rfam family "Eukaryotic small subunit ribosomal RNA", at positions 465 to 634 of the family's 1831-position model. The record is from RNAcentral. Lineage: Eukaryota; Apicomplexa; Conoidasida; Eucoccidiorida; Cryptosporidiidae.